Long non-coding RNA from Maniola jurtina (meadow brown), 154 nucleotides. RefSeq lists it as uncharacterized. The record is from RefSeq and is a predicted model, not a curated record. The transcript is spliced from 4 exons. Lineage: Eukaryota; Metazoa; Arthropoda; Insecta; Lepidoptera; Nymphalidae.
CUCUUAAACUUUGGGUUUUGACUACUGUUGAGGCUACGAGUUUACAAGCAGUUGACGUCAUCAACCAUUCAGCCAAUCACAGUCGUUUAUGAUCACGUGACUAAAGUAGACAGAAAAAUCAUAUUAUUUUCCUAUUUUCUCUUAAAAUAUCUCG